UCAAGCACAAGACGGCGCACGGUGGAUGCCUUGGCACCGAGAGGCGAUGAAGGACGUGGUAAGCUGCGAUAAGCCUGGGGGAGCUGCACACAAGCCGUGAUCCCAGGAUGUCCGAAUGGGGCAACCCGGCGCGAGGCGACUCGCGUCACGUCGCAAGACGAGCCAACCCGGGGAAGUGAAACAUCUCAGUACCCGGAGGAAGAGAAAGCAACCGCGAUCCCCCGAGUAGCGGCGAGCGAACGGGGGCCAGCCCAAACCGGUGGAGCUUGCUCCGCCGGGGUUGUGGGACCGCAACAUGGGAGCACGAGACUAAACCGAAGCGGCCUGGAACGGCCCGCCACAGACGGUGACAGCCCGGUACGUGUACGUCUACGGCCCCUAGCGGUAUCCCGAGUACCGCGGGACACGUGUAAUCCUGCGGGAAGCUGGGGGGACCACCCUCCAAGGCUAAAUACUCCUCGGUGACCGAUAGUGCACCAGUACCGUGAGGGAAAGGUGAAAAGAACGCCAGGUGGCGAGUGAAAUAGAUCCUGAAACCGUGCGCUCACAAGCGGUCGGAGGAAGCGCGGCACUUCGGUGUCGUGUCUUCUGACGGCGUGCCUUUUGCAUUAUGACCCGGGGAGUUACUCGUCGGCAGCAGGUUAAGGCCCUCAGGGCCGGAGCCAAAGCGAAAGCGAGUCUGAAUAGGGCGACGCGUUGCCGGCGGUAGACCCGAAGCCGUGGCGAUCUACCCUUGAGCAGGGUGAAGCGGCCGUAACAGGUCGUGGAGGCCCGAACCGUUGUGGGUUGAAAACCGCUCGGAUGACUUGAGGGUAGGGGUGAAAGGCCAAUCAAGCGCGGGGAUAGCUGGUUCUCUCCGAAACAUAUUUUGGUAUGGCCUCUGGAAAUGAGUCCACAGGAGGUAGAGCACUGGAUGGGUUCGGGUGGCGUAUAGCCAUACCUCCCCCAACCAAACUCCGAAUGCCUGUGUGAUGCUGCCAGGGAGACAGUCGACGGGCGAUAAUGUCCGUUGGCGAGAGGGAAAGAACCCAGACCGUCUGCUAAGGCCCCGGAGUGGCGGCUCAGUGUAACUAAGGAUGUGGACAUGCUGUGACAACUGGGAGGUUGGCUUAGAAGCAGCCAUCCUUUAAAGAGUGCGUAAUAGCUCACCAGUCCAGCGCGUCCGCGCCGAUAAUGGUCGGGACUCAAGCCGCCCGCCGAAGCAACGGAUCGACGGCGCAAGCCGUCGAUGGUAGGAGAGCGUUCCCAUUGCACUGAAGCCGGGGCGGAAGCCACCGGUGGAGCGAUGGGAAGUGAGGAUCCCGGGACGAGUACGCGAGAAACAGGGUGAAAACCCCUGUCACCGUAAGCCUAAGGGUUCCUGAGCCACGUCGAUCAGCUCAGGGUUAGUCGGUCCCUAAGGUGAGGCCGAAAGGCGUAACCGAUGGGAAACGGGUCAAUAUUCCCGUACCGACCUAUGUCCGUUCGAGCCUGAGGAGGGACGCAGGAGCACGGGGUUCGUCGGGUGGGUGGAUUAUCCGAUGUAAGGUCGUAGGCGUUCCCGGGUAGGCAAAUCCGCCCGGGUAGCCGAGAGCCGAUGCCGAAGGGGUCGUAAGACCCCGCAAAGGAAACCCAACGCACACUGCCGAGAAAAGCUUCGCAGGCGAGGCCAACGGUCGACCGUACCGCAAACCGACACAGGUAGGCGAGGCGAGUAGCCUCAGGUGCUCGAGUGAUUUACGGAGAAGGAACUCGGCAAAAUGACCCCGUAACUUCGGAAGAAGGGGUGCCGGUCGUACGUGACCCCGCACAGGGGAAGCGGAGCCCGGCCGCAGAGAAUCGCGUCAAGCGACUGUUUAGCAAAAACACAGGUGCCUGCUAAAGCGUCUUCCAAGCUGACGUAUAGGCACUGACGCCUGCCCGGUGCCGGAAGGUUAAAGCGAGGGGUUAGCUCCUUCGGGAGCGAGGCUCUGAACUGAAGCCCCGGUAAACGGCGGCCGUAACUAUAACGGUCCUAAGGUAGCGAAAUUCCUUGUCGGGUAAGUUCCGACCUGCACGAAUGGCGUAACGACUUGACGGCUGUCUCCUCCGUAAGCUCGGCGAAACUGCAGUAUCGGUGAGGAUUCCGAUUUCCCGCCAUAGGACAAAAAGACCCCAUGCACCUUUACUAUAGCCUGCUAUUGGACGCCGGCAUGACAUGCGUAGCAUAGGUGGGAGCCGUUGAUCCCCCGGUUUCGGCUGGGGGGGAGGCAACAGUGAAAUACCACCCUUGUUUUGUUGACGUCCUCACUCCGUCGGUACCCCGA
Molecule: ribosomal RNA, 2285 nt
Filed under: soil metagenome
Description: bacterial LSU rRNA
Rfam family: Bacterial large subunit ribosomal RNA
Source: RNAcentral